Molecule: long non-coding RNA, 388 nt
Organism: Vidua chalybeata
Lineage: Eukaryota; Metazoa; Chordata; Aves; Passeriformes; Viduidae
Exons: 2
Source: RefSeq, a predicted model, not a curated record
UAAAAAACGGGUGCCAAGAGACAUUAACUGGUGUUGUGGGAACAGAAUUGGGAAUCAGUUCAGAGCUCCAGUUACCUUACAUGAACUUUUAGAAUCCAAUCUCACGUUGAUUCACAAGCUAUUGCCUACUCCCAUUGGGAUGAACCUUACUUUGGUAAAGCAACUAUUACUUCAUCAAGAUCUAAUAGAGAUCCUAGGAAAAAUCAAGGAGAAUGGACAGAAAACUCUGGUAACUGUUCAUCAUGAUGUGCAAGAAAUACAUCGUGUUGUAGAAAGGGUGGAAAGUGAUGCCGAGCACAAGUGGUGGGAUACCCUUUCCGGGUGGUCACCCACCGCCACCGGUAUCCUGAACAAAUUGUGCCAUCCCGUUGUUGUUCUUCUGAUUUUA